AAUUUUAGUGAAUGGGGGAAACACUGAUCCAGCAACCCUGCGUGUUGGAUGAAGGCCUUCGUGUUGUAGAGUACUUUUGGAAGAGAGGAAAAGGUAUCUCUAAUUACGAGAUACUGCUGACGGUUCCUACAGUAUAAGCACCGGCUAACUACGUUCCAGCAGCCGCGGUAAUAAGUACGGUGCAAGCGUUAAUCGGAAUUAUUGGGCGUAAAGCGUGUGUAGGCGGUUCGGAGAGAAAGAUAUGAAAUCCCAGGGCUCAACCUUGGAGCUGCGUUUUUAACUGCCGAGCUAGAGUAUGUGAGAGGGGGGUAGAAUACCACGUGUAGCAGUGAAAUGCGUAGAUAUAUGGGGGAAUACAGAUAGCGAAGGCAGCCCCCUGGGAUAAUACUGACGCUCAGACACGAAAGCGUGGGGAGCGAACAG
RNAcentral lists this ribosomal RNA (423 nucleotides) under uncultured bacterium. RNAcentral's name for it is "partial 16S ribosomal RNA". It matches the Rfam family "Bacterial small subunit ribosomal RNA", at positions 360 to 775 of the family's 1533-position model. The record is from RNAcentral.